RNAcentral lists this ribosomal RNA (498 nucleotides) under uncultured bacterium. RNAcentral describes it as "bacterial SSU rRNA". It matches the Rfam family "Bacterial small subunit ribosomal RNA", at positions 28 to 530 of the family's 1533-position model. The record is from RNAcentral.
GACGAACGCUGGCGGCGUGCCUAACACAUGCAAGUCGAGCGGGGUUGAAGCGAGGGGUAACUCGAGUUUCUACCUAGCGGCGGACGGGUGAGUAACGCGUGGGCAACCUGCCUCAAGGACUGGGAUAACAGCUCGAAAGGGCUGCUAAUACCGGAUAAGCCUAUGGCCUCGCAUGGGGCCAUGAGCAAAGGGGAAACCCGCCUUGAGAUGGGCCCGCGUCCCAUCAGCUAGUUGGUGAGGUGAAGGCUCACCAAGGCGACGACGGGUAGCCGGCCUGAGAGGGUGACCGGCCACACUGGGACUGAGACACGGCCCAGACUCCUACGGGGGGCAGCAGUGGGGAAUCUUGCACAAUGGGCGAAAGCCUGAUGCAGCGACGCCGCGUGAGCGAAGAAGGCCUCGGUUGUAAGCUCUGUCUGGAGGGACGAAGGAAGUGACGGUACCUCCGGAGGAAGCCACGGCUAACUACGUGCCAGCAGCCGCGGUAAAGUCACGUCG